CCCCGCCCCAAUCUCCUACGGGAGCCAGCAGUAGGGAAUUCUUCCCCAAUGGAAGAAAGUUUGAAGGAGCAACGCCGCGUGAGUGAUGAAGGUUUUCGGAUCGUAAAGCUCUGUUGUUAGGGAAGAACAAGUGCGAGAGUAACUGCUCGCACCUUGACGGUACCUAACCAGAAAGCCACGGCUAACUACGUGCCAGCAGCCGCGGUAAUACGUAGGUGGCAAGCGUUGUCCGGAAUUAUUGGGCGUAAAGGGCUCGCAGGCGGUUUCUUAAGUCUGAUGUGAAAGCCCCCGGCUCAACCGGGGAGGGUCAUUGGAAACUGGGAAACUUGAGUGCAGAAGAGGAGAGUGGAAUUCCACGUGUAGCGGUGAAAUGCGUAGAGAUGUGGAGGAACACCAGUGGCGAAGGCGACUCUCUGGUCUGUAACUGACGCUGAGGAGCGAAAGCGUGGGGAGCGAACAGGAUUAGAUACCCUGGUAGUCCACGCCGUAAACGAUGAGUGCUAAGUGUUAGGGGGUCUCCGCCCCUUAGUGCUGCAGCUAACGCAUUAAGCACUCCGCCUGGGGAGUACGGUCGCAAGACUGAAACUCAAAGGAAUUGACGGGGGCCCGCACAAGCGGUGGAGCAUGUGGUUUAAUUCGAAGCAACGCGAAGAACCUUACCAGGUCUUGACAUCCUCUGACAACCCUAGAGAUAGGGCUUUCCCUUCGGGGACAGAGUGACAGGUGGUGCAUGGUUGUCGUCAGCUCGUGUCGUGAGAUGUUGGGUUAAGUCCCGCAACGAGCGCAACCCUUGAUCUUAGUUGCCAGCAUUCAGUUGGGCACUCUAAGGUGACUGCCGGUGACAAACCGGAGGAAGGUGGGGAUGACGUCAAAUCAUCAUGCCCCUUAUGACCUGGGCUACACACGUGCUACAAUGGACAGAACAAAGGGCUGCAAGACCGCAAGGUUUAGCCAAUCCCAUAAAUCUGUUCUCAGUUCGGAUCGCAGUCUGCAACUCGACUGCGUGAAGCUGGAAUCGCUAGUAAUCGCGGAUCAGCAUGCCGCGGUGAAUACGUUCCCGGGCCUUGUACACACCGCCCGUCACACCACGAGAGUUUGCAACACCCGAAGUCGGUGAGGUAACCUUUAUGGAGCCAGCCG
This 1140-nucleotide ribosomal RNA is filed under the name Bacillus safensis. RNAcentral describes it as "bacterial SSU rRNA". It matches the Rfam family "Bacterial small subunit ribosomal RNA", at positions 324 to 1455 of the family's 1533-position model. The record is from RNAcentral. Lineage: Bacteria; Bacillati; Bacillota; Bacilli; Caryophanales; Bacillaceae.